AUUUUUUUGAGAUUUCUGGAAACUUACCCAACUAUUCAGAAAACCCUUUUCUCUUGCUUUUCAGUAGCCUCAGACACCUCUUCUGCACCAUUUAAUAUCCUCUCAGCUUCACUAUUUCGGAUGCCUUGGAUCACUUGUUCCAGUCCUAUACCCUGUAACAACCAACGCCAUGCAACCACAAUUCAACAGUGCCUUGCCUCAUGCCUGAGCUGGUUGGUACCACUUAGCUCUUGUCCAGGAGAUUCACUCUUGACAAUGAGGACGAAGUGCAGUGCCUGGCAUCCAGCAAGUGCUCAAGAGAUAUUGGUGAAUGAGUUACUGAAUGCAUAAAUGAAUGCAACAGCUGGAAGGGCCAAGAGAUAAUCUAACACAGGCAUUACACUGGUAAGAAAUGACUCCCAAGAAAGUGACAGUAACUCGCCCAAGAACAUAAUCAUAUUAAUGGUAGAAGCAAGAUAAGAACUUAGCUGACAUCUUUUUAAAGUAUGCCAUGUUGGGGCCAGCCCAGUGGCAUAGCAGUUAAGUUCGUGCACUCUCCUUUGGCUGCCCAGGGUUCACUGGUUUAGAUCCCAGGCGCAGACCUGGUUAUCAAGCCAAGCUGUGGCAGGAGUCCCACAUAAAGCGGAGGAAGCUGAGCACAGACGUUAGCUCAGGGCCAAUCUUCCUCAAAA
Molecule: long non-coding RNA, 671 nt
Filed under: Equus caballus (horse)
Lineage: Eukaryota; Metazoa; Chordata; Mammalia; Perissodactyla; Equidae
Description: lncRNA (ENSECAG00000050952.1)
Source: RNAcentral